This 484-nucleotide ribosomal RNA is filed under the name uncultured bacterium. Its description in RNAcentral is "partial 16S ribosomal RNA". It matches the Rfam family "Bacterial small subunit ribosomal RNA", at positions 29 to 507 of the family's 1533-position model. The record is from RNAcentral.
AUUGAACGCUGGCGGCAUGCUUUACACAUGCAAGUCGAACGGCAGCGCGGGCUUCGGCCUGGCGGCGAGUGGCGAACGGGUGAGUAAUGCAUCGGAACGUGCCCAGUAGUGGGGGAUAGCCCGGCGAAAGCCGGAUUAAUACCGCAUACGACCUGAGGGUGAAAGCGGGGGACCGAAAGGCCUCGCGCUAUUGGAGCGGCCGAUGUCGGAUUAGCUAGUUGGUGGGGUAAAGGCUUACCAAGGCGACGAUCCGUAGCUGGUCUGAGAGGACGACCAGCCAAACUUGGACUGGGACCAGGCCCCAGAUCCUAAGGGAGGGAGCCGUGGGGAAAUUUGGACAAUGGGGGCAAACCUGGUCCAAGCCAGGCGCGGGGGGGAAAAAGGCCUUCGGGGUUGAAAACGGUUUUGUUCGGGAAGAAAACCUUUGGGCUAAAAACCCGGGGGGAAGAAGGUAACGGAAGAAUAAGCACCGGCUAACUACGUG